AGAGUUUGAUCAUGGCUCAGAAUCAACGCUGGCGGCGUGCCUAACACAUGCAAGUCGCACGAGAAAGGGUAGCAAUACCUGAGUACAGUGGCGCACGGGUGAGUAACACGUGAAUAAUCUACCUCCGAGUGGGGAAUAACUUAGGGAAACCUGAGCUAAUACCGCAUAACACUUACGAGUCAAAGCAGCAAUGCGCUUGGAGAGGAGUUCGCGGCAGAUUAGUUAGUUGGCGGGGUAAUGGCCCACCAAGACGAUGAUCUGUAUCCGGCCUGAGAGGGCGCACGGACACACUGGAACUGAAACACGGUCCAGACUCCUACGGGAGGCAGCAGUGGGGAAUUUUGCGCAAUGGGGGAAACCCUGACGCAGCAACGCCGCGUGGAGGAUGAAAUCCCUUGGGAUGUAAACUCCUUUCGAUCGGGACGAUUAUGACGGUACCGAAAGAAGAAGCCCCGGCUAACUUCGUGCCAGCAGCCGCGGUAAUACGAGGGGGGCGAGCGUUGUUCGGAAUUAUUGGGCGUAAAGGGUGCGUAGGCGGUUUGAUAAGUCUGAUGUGAAAUCUAUGGGCUCAACCCAUAGUCUGCAUUAGAAACUGUCGGGCUUGAGUAUGGGAGAGGUGAGUGGAAUUUCCGGUGUAGCGGUGAAAUGCGUAGAUAUCGGAAGGAACACCUGUGGCGAAAGCGGCUCACUGGACCAUUACUGACGCUGAUGCACGAAAGCUAGGGGAGCAAACAGGAUUAGAUACCCUAGUAGUCC
RNAcentral lists this ribosomal RNA (756 nucleotides) under uncultured bacterium. RNAcentral describes it as "bacterial SSU rRNA". It matches the Rfam family "Bacterial small subunit ribosomal RNA", at positions 8 to 796 of the family's 1533-position model. The record is from RNAcentral.